AUACCCUUCAUCUUUUCUAAACUGACUCAUUGCUCCGCCACCCAUAUUUUCCUCAGUGUUCUAGUUGCCUUAUUGCUGACAUCUCAUAACUACAAUCUUUCAUAACCUUCCCAUCUACAUAAACACUGUCUUUUAAGUGGCUGCCUCUAUGAUGAUUCACCGAAACAAAUAAACGUGUGGUCGCAGGUUCGGUGUACUCACGAACUUGAUUUAUAUCUGUUUGGAUAAACUUCUUUAUAAACUAGUUGAGUUUCUCCCAUAAGUUUAAAUCAACUUGUAAACUUAACUUUUAUACAAGCUCUCAUUUUUAACUUUUAAAUAAAUAAAUUGCUGGAGAAGUUUAUCCUAACAUGGUCUUGAGCUAAAAAAAUCUGAUUUGAUUCGUGUACUUGGAUUAAAUCGGGUGGAAAGUAAAUCCGAUCCGACGAAUCUUGGUUAGUGCCUCCAGUCAAAUUAAAAUGAGGGAUGUAUUUUUGAAAAUAAAAUAUGAUAUUAUAACUAUUGAUUCAAGAAAUCAUGGUUUAGAUUCUUCCAGUUUUAUAGUUUGCUAAGUCAUAAUUUAAGUUGUUGAUUUUUAAUCUACUGUCAUAACUUAAUCCUCUGAAGCAUAUUCUUCAUUUCAGAUAAGUCUUGUUCUAACAUUUAAACUAAUUUUUUCAGUGGUUUAAUUGUAAAAAUUUUGAUUUUAUUGAUUGUGUGCAUGGCCAUACCUUUUUUUGGUAUUGAACAAGGGUCCAAAGGCCCAAAAAGAAAGACUAAGCGGCCAUUACACGGGGGAAAACAAUUUCCAUAGAAUCACUAAGAAGCAACUGAGACAACAUCACAGGCUGUUGCUCAAAAAAGCAAAAAUCACCCUCCAUGCUACAAGCAUAAUCAGCAAGCUUGUUGGCCCUUCUAUUUCCUUCUCUGUAGAUGUGAAAGAUGUGGAUAAUCCCAAUGCCAGCAAUCAAAUUCCGAAUUUCUUUCACCAAUCUCCAUCCCAAAGAGCAGGAUAAUGUUGUUUAAACCUUUUUGAUGGACUAACCAUAGCCCCCGAAUACUCCCCAUAACUCGGCCAUAAAAACCGAUCCUCUGCCUAUGCACUUGGAAAAGCCCCACAACCAUUUCCAUCGUGAUCCCUCAACAACCCGCCAAAUCAUGCUAAACCACCCAGGCUCUUUACAGCCCCAUCAGUAUUGAGGCAUAGCCAUCCUUGAUGAGGGGGAUGCCAUUUAAUCUGCACUUGGAUCUUGGACUUAAUCACCACCCGUUGGUGGGUGAUCUAGGUGCACCCAACAUUUUAAGUGAAUAGACGACGACAAAACAACCACCGCAACAAUCACCACCGACCCGUAACACUUUCACCUCGACUCAAGCGACAACUCUCUCAACAAUGAAAAAUCAACACGAACCAACAACUGAGGGAGAAAGCGAAGAAAACAAUGGAGGCGUUAAGAGAAAAAAUAACACUGCAACCAACUUCAAAAGGAAGAAGACACCAGGGACAUUUAGGGAAUUAAAAAAAAUUAUUGGGUGCACAAACAAUAAUGUUGGUGUACCUAGCAUCACCUUGUUGGUGUUUUACUUGUCCCACUCUUCACUGGACCAUGUGGUCGUUGCCUUUUUAGUUUGGAAAAACAGAAAGCACCAAAAUAUGGACCUUUUUUUGGUGUAAUGGGCUUUUAUUUUUAAUUUGGGCUUCAAGUGAGUUUUUCAGUUAUAUGGUUUUGUUUUGUUCUUAAAUGUUUUGAAGGUUUAAAUACUCUUUUAGUACUUGGAAUUUAGUGUU
This is a long non-coding RNA of Glycine soja, 1768 nucleotides long. RefSeq lists it as uncharacterized. The record is from RefSeq and is a predicted model, not a curated record. NCBI's taxonomy places the organism in Eukaryota, Viridiplantae, Streptophyta, Magnoliopsida, Fabales, Fabaceae. The transcript is spliced from 2 exons.